RNAcentral lists this ribosomal RNA (482 nucleotides) under uncultured bacterium. RNAcentral describes it as "partial 16S ribosomal RNA". It matches the Rfam family "Bacterial small subunit ribosomal RNA", at positions 28 to 523 of the family's 1533-position model. The record is from RNAcentral.
GACGAACGCUGGCGGCGCGCCUAACACAUGCAAGUCGAACGAGAGAGGAAGAGCUUGCUUUUCCGAUCGAGUGGCGAACGGGUGAGUAACGCGUGAGGAACCUGCCUCAAAGAGGGGGACAACAGUUGGAAACGACUGCUAAUACCGCAUAAGCCCACGGCUCGGCAUCGAGCAGAGGGAAAAGGAGCAAUCCGCUUUGAGAUGGCCUCGCGUCCGAUUAGCUAGUUGGUGAGGUAACGGCCCACCAAGGCGACGUUCGGUAGCCGGACUGAGAGGUUGAACGGCCACAGUGGGACUGAGACACGGCCCAGACGCCUACGGGAGGCAGCAGUGGGGAAUAUUGCACAAUGGGGGAAACCCUGAUGCAGCGACGCCGCGUGGAGGAAGAAGGUCUUCGGAUUGUAAACUCCUGUUGUUGAGGAAGAUAAUGACGGUACUCAACAAGGAAGUGACGGCUAACUACGUGCCAGCAGCCGCGGUAA